Molecule: long non-coding RNA, 715 nt
Filed under: Marmota monax (woodchuck)
Lineage: Eukaryota; Metazoa; Chordata; Mammalia; Rodentia; Sciuridae
Source: RNAcentral
CUUUACCCAAAGUCAUCUAGAUUUUCUCUUAAGACUAUUUAGUUUAUAUGUUUUGGUUUAUGAUCCAUUCUGAAUUAAUUUUUAUGAAGAGUAUAAGGUCUGUGUUUGGUUCCUUUUCUUUUUAUGUGUAGAUACCUACUUGUAGAUGUCUAGUUAUUCAAAGCAUUUAUUGAAAAGAUUAUUUUUGCUUCUUUGUAUUAUCUUUGCUCCUUUGUCAAAGACAAUUGACUAUAUUUGAUUCUAUUUCUGUGUUCUCUCUUCUUUUCUGUUGAUCUAUUUGUUGUCUCCUCUUUUGCCAAGACCACACCGUCUUGAUUACUGUAGCCAAUUUACAAUAAGUCUUGAAAUUGAGUAAUGUCUUCUUCUCCUUCCCCUUCUUCUUCCUCCUCCUCCUCCUUUUCUUCUUCACUAUUGAGUUGGUUAUUCUGGGCCUUUUCCCUCUUGAUAUAUACUGUAUGAACAAUAUUUUGGUAUCUACUAAAUAACUGGCUGGUAUUUUGAUGGAUGGCAUUGAAUCUGUAGAUCAGGUUGGGAAUAACUGACAUCUUGACAAUAAUGAGUCUUCCUGUUCAUGAACACAUUUCAUUUUAUUUAAUUCUUUGAUAACUUUCAUCACAAUUUUAAAGGUUUCCUUACAAAGAUCUUGCAUAUAUUUUGUUAGAUUUAUAUCUAAGUAUUUUAUGUUAGAUUUAUGCCUAAGUCUUUGUUACCAUUU